ACUCAAAGGAAUUGACGGGGGCCCGCACAAGCGGUGGAGCAUGUGGAUUAAUACGUCACUAACCGUAGAACCUUACCCAGGCUUGACAUCUGUGGAAAGCGCCUGAAAGGGUGCCGUGCCUCGCAAGGGGAACCGCAAGACAGGUGUUGCAUGGCUGUCGUCAGCUCGUGUCGUGAGAUGUUGGGUUAAGUCCCGCAACGAGCGCAACCCUCACCGUCUGUUGCCAGCAUUCAGUUGGGCACUCUGACGGAACUGCCCGGGUAACCGGGAGGAAGGUGGGGAUGACGUCAAGUCAGCAUGGCCCGUACGCCUGGGGCUUCACACAUGCUACAAUGGCCGGUACAGAGGGUCCCGAGCCCGCGAGGGGGAGGCAAUCCCAAAAAGCCGGUCUCAGUUCGGAUCGCAGGCUGCAACUCGCCUGCGUGAAGGCGGAAUCGCUAGUAAUUGCCGGUCAGCUAAACGGCAGUGAAUACGUUCCCGGGCCUUGCACACACCGCCCGU
This 501-nucleotide ribosomal RNA is filed under the name uncultured bacterium. RNAcentral describes it as "partial 16S ribosomal RNA". It matches the Rfam family "Bacterial small subunit ribosomal RNA", at positions 899 to 1397 of the family's 1533-position model. The record is from RNAcentral.